Molecule: antisense RNA, 75 nt
Filed under: Streptomyces oceani
Lineage: Bacteria; Bacillati; Actinomycetota; Actinomycetes; Kitasatosporales; Streptomycetaceae
Description: Streptomyces sp. SCSIO 02100 ASpks TB sRNA
Rfam family: ASpks TB sRNA
Source: Rfam by way of RNAcentral
CUUGAGUGAGCCGAGCCAGAGAGGCGUUUCGGCUGCCUUCUCCCGGCCGUAGGUGGCCAGCAGCGCCUGUGCCUC